Non-coding RNA from Rattus norvegicus (Norway rat), 6566 nucleotides. Lineage: Eukaryota; Metazoa; Chordata; Mammalia; Rodentia; Muridae. The record is from RefSeq and is a predicted model, not a curated record.
ACCUGUCAUUAAACAGGGUGAACCUGUCAUUAAACCCUCCUCUGAAGAUGUAAAGAUCAAGUGUUGCAUUUCUCCCUAAUCUUCCCAGGGGAGACUGAGUGAACAUAUUGCUUUCCCAUUUUUAAAUGUAACAGUUGAUGCAACAGUGAAAUGGGAAGAGAGCCACACGUCUGUUGCCCAACAACUCUGGGGAGAUGGCUGUGUGAGAAGGCUGGGCAGUUCUUACAAAACAGGGAGUCAGUCAUUCACUGUUGCCAGGGUGCACAGGCAGAAUGGCAAUGGAGGAAGAAAGAGUUUGGUGUUUUGUUAGCAAGUAGAAGAACUAAACCAUCAGUACUGGUGACUGAACAGGCUUUUGUGGAUACUGGGCGAUUGUUCUGCUGUGGGACAGCAUCUCCAGCAAAUGCUGAAGUCGUUAAAAUAUUCACACAAUCACACUGCUUCAUAUAACCUAACAGCGAGCUCUGGGCUUCUCUGAAACUUGCAAAGUAAAAGGUACUUUGUACCAGUAUCUAAGCUACCUUCUGUAUAGAUCCUGUUUCUGGGGAUAAAAACAUUUAUAAAUGAGAAAAUGCAAAAGAAUUGUUUUCCUUUGAGGAAAACACAAGAAAAUCACGACAAUACCGGGGGAAAGCCAAUGAGUAGACUGACAGAAUUUUCCACGAGGAAGAAGUGGGAGUUUUACUCCUUAAGUUGAAGGAAAAGCGUUUGGGGUAGGGGCAUUGCUUGUCAAGUGCGCGAUCGCAGUCACCAGCACCAAGGACAGCGACAACCCAUCCUGCUGGGCCGGGUGGUCCUUAUCCUCAGCAAACAAUUCUAGGGGCACCAACUUUGAUGGUUUAAUGCCCCCUCCCCCACCUGCCACCACCUGUAAUCCCAGCAUCCAGGAAGCUGUGGCAGGAGGACUGUGGCAAGUUUAAGGCCAGCCUGGACUACAGGGUGAGGCCUUGUUUUAAAAGAUCACAAGCAAAAUAACAGGAAACGCCCAUAAAGAAACUCAGUGGGCUUUCCCCACAAAAGCCAACCUGCUCAACUUGUUUUCCAGGUAUUAUUGUAUUAUGUAACAUUAUCUCUAUAAAGAAUAAUAGUCACUAUAUUUGAAAGAAGGAAAACAAACAAACAAACAAACAAAUAUUCUAUUUCCUGUUCCAAGUGGCUUACAAGUACUAUUGCAUUCUCCUUCCUUAAGGGUCCUAUGUAACACACACAGGUAUCAAAACUUUACAGAUAAGACAGAACAAUGAGAAAAAUAAGGAACUUGUGCAUUCCCUAGUCAUUGGAGGUGGGAUCGGAGCUGUGUGGCUUCAGAGCCUCUGCUAUCUCCACACUAAGUAGUGUGUAGCAGCGUCUGUCUAUGGUAGGCUCCAAAGGAAAGAAGCAAUACAAUGGCAAACAAUUAUUUUCUACACUACUUUUUUUUCCCAGAUAGAUCACACCAUAGCCACCCAUAAUAGACUCAAAGAAUGGUAUUUCGUAUGGACUACCGAUAUGAUAUGCAUUUGUCUCCAACAACAGAGUGAAAUCAUCAAGUAUUUGAUAUGUCUCCGGAGCCCAGGUGGUUCCAGGAUGAAGGACAACCUGGUGUGUGUGACCCAGAAUCAGUGAGAGAUGAAUCAGGAUGGGGCAUGGUUCCAACAGAAAUAUGUUAGCUGUAUCUUGGUCAAGUGCAGGACUCAUUAAGUGAGGAGAAAGAAAAAAAAAAAAACAAAUGAUAAACUGGCUUUAAAUUUGGAGAUCAGGAGGAGGGAGUGAGUACAAUGAGUUCUAGUAUUGUAUAUCGUGAAGAUCACCGAGGAUUUCUUUUUUUUUUUUAUUAACUUGAGUAUUUCUUAUAUACAUUUCGAGUGUUAUUUCCUUUCCCGGUUUCCGGACAAACAUACUCCUCCCCCCUCCCCUUCUUUAUGGGCGUUCCCCUCCCCCUCCUCCCCCCUUGCCGCCCUCCCCCCAACAAUCUAGUUCACUGGGGGUUCAGUCUUAGCAGGACCUAGGGCUUCCCCUUCCACUGGUGCUCUUACUAGGAUAUUUAUUGCUACCUAUGAGGUCAGAGUCCAGGGUCAGUCCAUGUUUAGUCUUUAGGUAGUGGCUUAGUCCCUGGAAGCUCUGGUUGCUUGGUGUUGUUGUACCUAUGGGGUCUCGAGUCCCUUCAAGCUCUUCCAGUUCUUUCUCUGAUUCCUUCAGUGGGGGUCCUGUUCUCAAUUCAGUGGUUUGCUGUAUUCUGGCUGUGUCUCUCGGGAGAGAUCUACAUCCGGCUCCUGUUGGCCUGCACUUCUUUGCUUCAUCCAUCUUGUCUAAUUGGAUGACUGUAUAUGCAUGGGCCACAUGUGGGGCAGGCUCUGAAUGGGUGUUCCUUCUGUGUCUGUUUUAAUCUUUGCCUCUCUAUUCCCUGCCAAGGGUAUUCUUGUUCCCCUUUUAAAGAAGGAGUGAAGCAUUCACAUUUUGAUCAUCCGUCUUGAGUUUCAUUUGUUCUAGGCAUCUAGGGUAAUUCAAGCAUUUGGGCUAAUAGCCACUUAUCAAUGAGUGCAUACCAUGUGUGUUUUUCUGUGAUUGGGUUACCUCACUCAGGAUGAUAUUUUCCAGUUCCGACCAUUUGUCUACGAAUUUCAUAAAGUCAUUGUUUUUGAUAGCUGAGUAAUAUUCCAUUGUGUAGAUGUACCACAUUUUCUGUAUCCAUUCCUCUGUUGAAGGGCAUCCGGGUUCUUUCCAGCUUCUGGCUACUAUAAAUAAGGCUGCGAUGAACAUAGUGGAGCAUGUGUCUUUUUUAUAUGUUGGGGCAUCUUUUGGGUAUAUGCCCAAGAGAGGUAUAGCUGGAUCCUCAGGCAGUUCAAUGUCCAAUUUUCUGAGGAUCCUCCAGACUGAUUUCCAGAAUGGUUGUACCAGUUUGCAAUCCCACCAACAAUGGAGGAGUGUUCCUCUUUCUCCACAUCCUCGCCAGCAUCUGCUGUCACCUGAGUUUUUGAUCUUAGCCAUUCUCACUGGUGUGAGGUGAAAUCUCAGGGUUGUUUUGAUUUGCAUUUCCCUUAUGACUAAAGAUGUUGAACAUUUCUUUAGGUGUUUCUCAGCCAUUCCGCAUUCCUCAGCUGUGAAUUCUUUGUUUAGCUCUGAACCCCAUUUUUUAAUAGGGUUAUUUGUCUCCCUGCGGUCUAACUUCUUGAGUUCUUUGUAUAUUUUGGAUAUAAGGCCUCUAUCUGUUGUAGGAUUGGUAAAGAUCUUUUCCCAAUCUGUUGGUUGCCGUUUUGUCCUAACCACAGUGUCCUUUGCCUUACAGAAGCUUUGCAGUUUUAUGAGAUCCCAUUUGUCGAUUCUUGAUCUUAGAGCAUAAGCCAUUGGUGUUUUGUUCAGGAAAUUUUUUCCAGUGCCCAUGUGUUCCAGAUGCUUCCCUAGUUUUUCUUUUAUUAGUUUGAGUGUAUCUGGUUUGAUGUGGAGGUCCUUGAUCCACUUGGACUUAAGCUUUGUACAGGGUGAUAAGCAUGGAUCGAUCUGCAUUCUUCUACAUGUUGACCUCCAGUUGAACCAGCACCAUUUGCUGAAAAUGCUAUCUUUUUUCCAUUGGAUGGUUUUGGCUCUUUUGUCAAAAAUCAAGUGACCAUAGGUGUGUGGGUUCAUUUCUGGGUCUUCAAUUCUGUUCCAUUGGUCUAUCUGUCUGUCUCUGUACCAAUACCAUGCAGUUUCUAUCACUAUUUCUCUGUAAUACUGCUUGAGUUCAGGGAUAGGAUUUUUAUGUGCUAGUUGGUGACACUAGAUACGGACUCACCAUAAAAGUGUGAUUAGAAGUAGGUAAGUGUCCAUGAGGAGUAGUAAUGCAACAGUGCCUGCCAUUUGUAUGGUCUAGUACAGUAUUCCCAAGUGAGGAGAGAAAGAAAUACAGAAUCAUUUCUGGGGUGUUUUCAAAUUAUAUACAACCAGCCUCCUUUUUAGGAAACUUGGCUUUUCUCUAUUCUCUUAGUUGGUAAUUCUUUUUUAAAAAGAUUUAUUUAUUUUUAUUUAUACGAGUACACUGUAGCUGUCUUCAGACACACACCAGAAGAGGGCAUCAGAUCUCAUCACAGAUGGUUGUGAGCCAUCAUGUGAUUGCUGGGAUUUGAACUCGGGACCUCUGGAAGAGCAGUCAGUGCUCUAACCGCUGAGCCGUCUCUCCGGCCCCCAGGUGGUAAUUCUUACUCCAGGAUUCACACUACAUCCCAUCUUGUGUCUUUUAUGUCAUGAUGUUCUUUGCUUCUUCCCUCCCCGCUUCUUGUCCUGGACUUUUGAGACCGGGUCACACAGAGUUGCUCAGCCUGGCCUUGUAAAUCCCAGGCUGCUCUUCAACUUUCCACCACGCUGUCUCAGCCUCCUACGUGCCCGGAUUAUAGGAUGUUUCACCAUCACUGACUUCUCUGAUAAUCUGUCAUAUCUUUAGGGGGUCGAGGGAUAGUGGUAUCUUGACUUGACUUCUUCAUUUUCCAGGGGCACCAGCUCUAAAGAGGACAUGUUCGUCUUCAAUACCUGGUCAUCUAUAUACGAGAGGGUGAAGACAGGCACUGUUUUUAAAUUCAUAUGUAUAAAGACUCAGAACUUCAGGAAGGAGUGUAUUGUAUAUUAAACAGCUGGUAAAUUGGGCUGUGUAUAAAACACAGAACUAUUACUUGCCCACUUCUCCAAGGCUAAGGGCCUGGGCUGGAUGUUUAAGGAAGCAAAAUGGGACGGUCUUCCUCAAGAGGCUCAAAGUCCAGAACUGCACACCUCUCUUCCCUCUGACAUAGAUGUUCCAGACACUGAUAAAGCUGCCAUGCUCACUGUGCCAGCCCUGUCAGUUACUUCAGAUGCUCUCUCCUUAAUGGCCAUUCCAAAUGGGCAGUAGUGAUCAUGGUUCUACAAGAGGAACCAAAUAUUGGAAACUGACUGAGCCGAGAUCCAAGAGGCAGGCAUAUCAAGAGCUCUUGACUGGCAUCUUCUCACUUCCCAGCAAGUAUCCUUUCUCCUGAAUUGUCCUGACCGCACCUUUUAUACCAAGAUGUGUUGAUUACACCCAGAGACCAAAGGACAUCUUGAUUUGAUUCCCUGAGCUGAAUGCUUCUCAUGUUCCAGGCAGUGUGACAAUGUCUCUCACGUGAGAAGGGGUCUUUAUCAUGUAGCUCUGAAUGUCCUGGAACUUGCUACUGAGACCACACUGGCUUCGACCUCAUGGAGAUCUACCUGUCUCUGCUUCCUGAAUACAGGGAUGAAAGGAAUUUCACAUGGAACCUUUACUAAGGAAUCGUUCCUCCUUUGGUGCUCUUUUCAAGCUUGUAAAUGGUAUCAGCUCUGCAGAAGAUAAGCCGUGUGUGGAUGUGCCAUAUGCUAACUUUUGGUUUUCCAUCCAGUGACGGAAGGAUACUUUAGUUUUCCUUAUCACUUGCUGGUGAAGACUGUAUUUUUAAAUGGAUACUAUACAAACUAAGUCAUCACAGAAAAAGAAAGAGGCGAUACCAAGAAAGGCUUCAACAGAGCCCUUCUCUCUGCCCACAGGCAAAAGACUCCGUAAGACUAUGUGAUUUGGAUACAUCCAAGGGAUAUUCUCGUUGAAAGGUCAGCUGUGGUAUGUAGCAUCUACCUGCAUUAAUACACUGGGCCUGGGGGUGGAGAGAUGGCUCAGCUGUCAAGAACACUGGCUGUUCUUCAAAGCACUGGCCAGAAGAUCUAGAGGACCACAAGUCCCAGCACCUACAUGGCAGAUCUCAUCUGUUUGUAACUCUAGGCUCAGGGGAAUCAGAUGCCUUCUUCCGGCAUCCACAGGCACCAGGAAUACAUGUGCUGUAUAGACUUGCAUACAUGCAUGCAAAACAUACAUAUGUAGAAAAUAAUAAAUACUUCACCGGGCCUUUGUUUAGAUUUAAAUGUAAUAAUAUACCACGUAUUUAAUUUAUUUACACAAACAUAUUUUUGGAGAGCUACAGAAUUUCACACACUGGAGGAUGCUGAAGGAAUAGUAAAAUCUAAAUUACUGCUUUUACAAUGAAUGCAUUUCUAUUGGUUGAAAAUAAAUAAUGUUGGAUAAAAAAAUCAUCUUCUUUUUCACUUGUUCUGUUGAGUUAAAAAUAAAAAUAGAGUCCCCUUAAAAAGAUCCUGAACAUCCACGAGGGAGGAAACCCAAGCAUGACAGUGGGGCCAAUACACAAGCUAAGACACACACAUUGCCUCCUGUGUUUCCACUUAACUGCUCCUUGCUCUACACCACACAGCCUUUCCUGGAAGAGUUGUCAGAACAGGAUAUGAUUUGCUGAUAUUCUUCUACCAGAGAGGAAGCUUGCAUAAUUAGACCUUCACCCUCUGAACCUAAUCGAACAUGAAGCACAGCCCAUAGGAUUAAAGGGAGGGGAAACUGGUAGGGAGAACAGAUGGAAGGAGGAGGAAGUUGAUUCCAUUAGCACAUGGAAUGGUAGCCUAUGUAGUUUCUGAAUGACUUAAGACCUGCAGAAAAUGUCGUUUACUGUGCUUUGGGAUGGGAUGAAGGCCACCUCAGCUAUUGUUGACUUCUGGGUAAUUAAACACUGGAAAGAAAGAAUACAAAAGACUUCUGAACACACACACACACACACACACACACACAC